ACGAGGAAGCCGGUGUGAUCCGGCGCGGUCCCGCCACUGUGAUCGGUGGAGCCGUUCCCGACAGGCCACUGCCCGCGACGGGGUGAAAGCCCAGGACCCGGCGUCGACCCGAGAGCCAGGAGACUC
Molecule: non-coding RNA, 126 nt
Filed under: Streptomyces viridochromogenes
Lineage: Bacteria; Bacillati; Actinomycetota; Actinomycetes; Kitasatosporales; Streptomycetaceae
Source: RNAcentral